UACGUAGGGGGCAAGCGUUGUCCGGAUUUAUUGGGCGUAAAGAGCUCGUAGGCGGUUUGGCAAGUCGGAUGUGAAAUCUCCACGCUCAACGUGGAGGCGCCAUUCGAUACUGCCAUGACUCGAGUCCGGUAGGGGAGUGUGGAAUUCCCGGUGUAGCGGUGAAAUGCGCAGAGAUCGGGAGGAACACCUGUAGCGAAGGCGGCACUCUGGGCCGGAACUGACGCUGAGGAGCGAAAGCGUGGGGAGCGAACAGG
RNAcentral lists this unclassified non-coding RNA (254 nucleotides) under uncultured Acidimicrobiia bacterium. RNAcentral describes it as "contains 16S-23S intergenic spacer region". It matches the Rfam family "Bacterial small subunit ribosomal RNA", at positions 524 to 776 of the family's 1533-position model. Lineage: Bacteria; Bacillati; Actinomycetota; Acidimicrobiia. The record is from RNAcentral.